Syngnathus acus (greater pipefish) is the source of this 173-nucleotide long non-coding RNA. RefSeq lists it as uncharacterized. The record is from RefSeq and is a predicted model, not a curated record. NCBI's taxonomy places the organism in Eukaryota, Metazoa, Chordata, Actinopteri, Syngnathiformes, Syngnathidae. The transcript has 3 exons.
UCAGUCUGUCUUGGGUGGCGUUGGAGGACCCGCGGGCGUCGCCAGAUUCAAGCCAGCUGCGCCGGACCCGCGAUCGUCCAUGGCCCCACCCCCACUGCUGCAGCGCGUGGUGGCUCUUGCCGCUGCGUACAGCUACCCCUUCCAAUUGCCGCUGAUUGCGGUCCGGACUUCAA